AUGUUCAGGUAACAGCAUACCUCAGCAUUAAACUUAUAUUCAUCAUACCAGUAUUCGCAUUGAUAAAAUGUAUCGUGUUCCAAUCUGAGCCACUACUGGACAAUCCGUAUGCAAAAAUACUACCAUCUUCGCUAAAUCUGCUAAAUGAUAUUGCAACCGUGCCAUCCUCAGAAAGAGUAUUUGGAUCAAGAAAUACUCGAGGCUCGCUAUCCAAGGACACAUGUAUUUAGGAAAAUCCCAUAAUUGUUUAAGUCUAUCAUGAAUAUCUUGACGUGAUUUGCAAGAAGCUAAAUAUGGUUUGGUUAAUGCAUUUUGAGCAUCGAUAAAUAAUUUUGUUUCUUCUGAGUUCGGGUCCUCCAACCAUCUGUACGGAUCAGUUAUCUGUCCGGACAAUUUCAUUCAUCAUAUUAUACAAACAUCCAAAAUACUUUGUGUUUAAAUAUAUUACAAAAAAUGCAUACACAUAUAAAGAAAAAGUUAACUAGAUGUGUAUAAAUAUUGCAGGAUUUCAUUAACAAAUAUAUUUAAUUAUACGAAA
RNAcentral lists this long non-coding RNA (538 nucleotides) under Polistes fuscatus (common paper wasp). Its description in RNAcentral is "uncharacterized LOC122516147". Lineage: Eukaryota; Metazoa; Arthropoda; Insecta; Hymenoptera; Vespidae. The record is from RNAcentral.